This 127-nucleotide unclassified non-coding RNA is filed under the name uncultured Xylariaceae. Its description in RNAcentral is "sequence contains ITS1". Lineage: Eukaryota; Fungi; Ascomycota; Sordariomycetes; Xylariales; Xylariaceae. The record is from RNAcentral.
CAGAGUUUCCAUAAACUCCCAACCCCUGUGGACAUACCUCUUGUUGCCUCGGCAGGCGCGAGCUUGCCGGCGGCCCCUCCAACUCUUGUCUCUCUGGACAUUCUGAACACGAUAACGAAAUACGUUA